This 1076-nucleotide ribosomal RNA is filed under the name Sulfolobus sp. A20-N-F8. Its description in RNAcentral is "partial 23S ribosomal RNA". It matches the Rfam family "Bacterial large subunit ribosomal RNA", at positions 783 to 1976 of the family's 2925-position model. The record is from RNAcentral. Lineage: Archaea; Thermoproteati; Thermoproteota; Thermoprotei; Sulfolobales; Sulfolobaceae.
UGAAUGUUGAAAAAUUCUCGGAUGACUUGUGGAUAGGGGUGAAAGGCCAAUCAAACCUGGACAUAGCUGGUUCUCCGCGAAAUCUAUUUAGGUAGAGCGUCCGACGAAUUCCCUGGGGGGUAGAGCACUGGAUGGUUGCGGGCUGCGCGAGCGGUACCAAUACUAACCAAACUCCGAAUACCCAGGAGAACUAUCGGGCAGACACACGGCGGGUGCUAACGUCCGUCGUGAAAAGGGAAACAACCCUAACCAUCAUCUAAGGCCCCCAAGUCAUGGCUAAGUGGGAAACGAUGUGGGAUUGCUUUGACAAUCAGGAGGUUGGCUUAGAAGCAGCCAUCCUUUAAAGAAAGCGUAACAGCUCACUGAUCAAGCGAUCCUGCGCGGAAAAUGUAACGGGGCUAAAGCCAUGCGCCGAAGAUAUGGGUUUGCAGUUUACUGCAAGCGGUAGCGGAGCGUUCCGUAGGCCGGUGAAGGUCAACCGUGAGGUUGGCUGGAGGUAUCGGAAGUGAGAAUGCUGACAUGAGUAACGAUAAACAGAGUGAGAAACUCUGUCGCCGAAAGACCAAGGGUUCCUGCGUAAAGCUAAUCUGCGCAGGGUUAGUCGGCCCCUAAGGCGAGGCUGAAAAGCGUAGUCGAUGGGAAGCAGGUAAAUAUUCCUGCACCAGCUGGAAGUGACGGAUGGCAUAACUUGUAAGGGCUUAUUGGAUUGUCCUUGCAGGGGCGUUGUCCCUGGAAAUAACUCCAGCAGAGACCGUACCCGAAACCGACACAGGUGGUCAGGUAGAGCAUACCAAGGCGCUUGAGAGAACUGUGCUGAAGGAACUCGGCAAAUUGCACGCGUAACUUCGGAAUAAGCGUGACUCACCCUGCGCAAGCAGGAAUGAGUGGCACAAGCCAGGGGGUAGCGACUGUUUAGCAAAAACACAGGGCUCUGCGAAGCAGCAAUGCGACGUAUAGGGUCUGACGCCUGCCCGGUGCCUGAAGGUUAAAGGGAGGAGUGAAAGCUCCGAACUGAAGCCCAGGUAAACGGCGGCCGUAACUAUAACGGUCCUAAGGUAGCGAAAUUCCUUGUCGGG